This 598-nucleotide ribosomal RNA is filed under the name uncultured bacterium. RNAcentral describes it as "bacterial SSU rRNA". It matches the Rfam family "Bacterial small subunit ribosomal RNA", at positions 338 to 1533 of the family's 1533-position model. The record is from RNAcentral.
CCUACGGGAGGCAGCAGUGGGGAAUCUUGCGCAAUGGGCGAAAGCCUGACGCAGCCAUGCCGCGUGAAUGAUGAAGGUCUUAGGAUUGUAAAAUUCUUUCACCGGGGACGAUAAUGACGGUACCCGGAGAAGAAGCCCCGGCUAACUUCGUGCCAGCAGCCGCGGUAAUACGAAGGGGGCUAGCGUUGCUCGGAAUUACUGGGCGUAAAGGGAGCGUAGGCGGAUAGUUUAGUCAGAGGUGAAAGCCCAGGGCUCAACCUUGGAAUUGCCUUUGAUACUGGCUAUCUUGAGUACGGAAGAGGUAUGUGGAACUCCGAGUGUAGAGGUGAAAUUCGUAGAUAUUCGGAAGAACACCAGUGGCGAAGGCGACAUACUGGUCCGUUACUGACGCUGAGGCUCGAAAGCGUGGGGAGCAAACAGGAUUAGAUACCCUGGUAGUCCACGCUGUAAACGAUGAGUGCUAGUUGUCGGCAGGCAUGCCUGUCGGUGACGCAGCUAACGCAUUAAGCACUCCGCCUGGGGAGGUACGGUCGCGAGAUAAACUACAAUAGAAGUAGACGGCGNGAGACGUGCCGACGACGACGACGAGGGAGGUAGG